RNAcentral lists this ribosomal RNA (396 nucleotides) under uncultured bacterium. RNAcentral's name for it is "bacterial SSU rRNA". It matches the Rfam family "Bacterial small subunit ribosomal RNA", at positions 360 to 773 of the family's 1533-position model. The record is from RNAcentral.
AAUCUUGCACAAUGGGGGAAACCCUGAUGCAGCGACGCCGCGUGAGUGAUGAAGCCCUUCGGGGUGUAAAGCUCUUUCGACGGGAACGAUUAUGACGGUACCCGGAGAAGAAGCUGCGGCUAACUCCGUGCCAGCAGCCGCGGUAAUACGGGAGGGGUAAGCGUUGUUCGGAAUUACUGGGCGUAAAGGGCUCGUAGGCGGCCAACUAAGUCAUACGUGAAAUCCCUCAGCUUAACUGGGGAACUGCGUGUGAUACUGGAUGGCUUGGAUUUGGGAGAGGGAUGCGGAAUUCCAGGUGUAGCGGUGAAAUGCGUAGAUAUCUGGAGGAACACCGGUGGCGAAGGCGGCAUCCUGGACCAAUAUUGACGCUGAGGAGCGAAAGCCAGGGGAGCAAAC